UUCGCAAUGCCCGAAAGGGUGACGAAGCGACGCCGCGUGUGGGAAGAAGGCCUUCGGGUUGUAAACCACUGUCGGGAGUUAAGAAGUGUAGGGGGGUUAAUAGUCUCCUUACUUGACGUUAGCUCCGGAGGAAGCCACGGCUAACUCUGUGCCAGCAGCCGCGGUAAUACAGAGGUGGCAAGCGUUGUUCGGAAUUAUUGGGCGUAAAGAGCACGUAGGCGGCCCUGCAAGUCAGCUGUGAAAUCCUUCUGCUCAACGGAAGAACGGCAGUUGAUACUAUAGGGCUCGAGUGCGGGAGGGGAGAGUGGAACUUCUGGUGGAGCGGUGAAAUGCGUAGAUAUCAGAAGGAACAUCGGCGGCGAAGGCGACUCUCUGGCCCGUAACUGACGCUGAGGUGCGAAAGCUAGGGGAGCAAACGGGAUUAGAUACCCCGGUAGUCCUAGCCGUAAACGAUGGGCACUAAGUAGAGGGGUUUUA
RNAcentral lists this ribosomal RNA (477 nucleotides) under uncultured Planctomycetota bacterium. RNAcentral's name for it is "bacterial SSU rRNA". It matches the Rfam family "Bacterial small subunit ribosomal RNA", at positions 365 to 833 of the family's 1533-position model. The record is from RNAcentral. Lineage: Bacteria; Pseudomonadati; Planctomycetota.